This 164-nucleotide ribosomal RNA is filed under the name uncultured bacterium. RNAcentral describes it as "partial 16S ribosomal RNA". It matches the Rfam family "Bacterial small subunit ribosomal RNA", at positions 1336 to 1500 of the family's 1533-position model. The record is from RNAcentral.
UAGUAAUCGUAGGUCAGCAUACUACGGUGAAUACGUUCCCGGGCCUUGUACACACCGCCCGUCACACCAUGAGAGUUGGAGAUACCCGAAGCCUGUGAGCUAACUUUUAGAGGCAGCAGUCGAAGGUAGAAUCAAUGAUUGGGGUGAAGUCGUAACAAGGUAUC